CUUGACGUCCAGCGAACUUUCCAGAGAUGGAUUGGUGCCUUCGGGAACGCUGAGACAGGUGCUGCAUGGCUGUCGUCAGCUCGUGUUGUGAAAUGUUGGGUUAAGUCCCGNAACGAGCGCAACCCUUAUCCUUUGUUGCCAGCGAUUCGGUCGGGAACUCAAAGGAGACUGCCGGUGAUAAACCGGAGGAAGGUGGGGAUGACGUCAAGUCAUCAUGGCCCUUACGAGUAGGGCUACACACGUGCUACAAUGGCGCAUACAAAGAGAAGCGACCUCGCGAGAGCAAGCGGACCUCAUAAAGUGCGUCGUAGUCCGGAUCGGAGUCUGCAACUCGACUCCGUGAAGUCGGAAUCGCUAGUAAUCGUGGAUCAGAAUGCCACGGUGAAUACGUUCCCGGGCCUUGUACACACCGCCCGUCACACCAUGGGAGUGGGUUGCAAAAGAAGUAGGUAGCUUAACCUUCGGGAGGGCGCUUACCACUUUGUGAUUCAUGACUGGGGUGAAGUCGUAACAAGGUAAGCGUAGCGAG
RNAcentral lists this ribosomal RNA (529 nucleotides) under uncultured bacterium. Its description in RNAcentral is "bacterial SSU rRNA". It matches the Rfam family "Bacterial small subunit ribosomal RNA", at positions 980 to 1509 of the family's 1533-position model. The record is from RNAcentral.